CAGCCGCCACGGUAAUACGUAGGGUGCAAGCGUUAAUCGGAAUUACUGGGCGUAAAGCGUGCGCAGGCGGUUCGUUAAGACAGAUGUGAAAUCCCCGGGCUUAACCUGGGAACUGCAUUUGUGACUGGCGGGCUAGAGUAUGGCAGAGGGGGGUAGAAUUCCACGUGUAGCAGUGAAAUGCGUAGAGAUGUGGAGGAAUACCGAUGGCGAAGGCAGCCCCCUGGGCCAAUACUGACGCUCAUGCACGAAAGCGUGGGGAGCAAACGGGAUUAGAUACCCCAGUAGUCCCUGUCUCUUAUAA
RNAcentral lists this ribosomal RNA (301 nucleotides) under uncultured bacterium. RNAcentral's name for it is "partial 16S ribosomal RNA". It matches the Rfam family "Bacterial small subunit ribosomal RNA", at positions 509 to 809 of the family's 1533-position model. The record is from RNAcentral.